UCUCUGUAGGUGAACCUGCGGAGGGAUCAUUUGCUGGAACGCGCUUCGGCGCACCCAGAAACCCUUUGUGAACUUAUACCUACUGUUGCCUCGGCGUCAGGCCGGCCCCCUCACCGGGGCCCCCCGGAGACGGGGAGCAGCCCGCCGGCGGCCAACCAAACUCUUGUUUCUAUAGUGAAUCUCUGAGUAAAAAAACAUAAAUGAAUCAAAACUUUCAACAACGGAUCUCUUGGUUCUGGCAUCGAUGAAGAACGCAGCGAAAUGCGAUAAGUAAUGUGAAUUGCAGAAUUCAGUGAAUCAUCGAAUCUUUGAACGCACAUUGCGCCCCCCGGUAUUCCGGGGGGCAUGCCUGUUCGAGCGUCAUUUCAACCCUCAAGCCUGGCUUGGUGAUGGGGCACUGCUUCGAGAGGAGCAGGCCCUGAAAUUCAGUGGCGAGCUCGCCAGGACCCCGAGCGUAGUAGUUAUAUCUCGCUCUGGAAGGCCCUGGCGGUGCCCUGCCGUUAAACCCCCAACUUCUGAAAAUUUGACCUCGGAUCAGGUAGGAAUAC
This 548-nucleotide ribosomal RNA is filed under the name fungal sp. IIIM/MK/BM/15. Its description in RNAcentral is "eukaryotic LSU rRNA". The stretch from base 210 to 363 matches the Rfam family "5.8S ribosomal RNA". Lineage: Eukaryota; Fungi. The record is from RNAcentral.